UCUAAGGUGGCAGAUGAAUGCAUAAGAUUUAAGCUCUUAUAAUGGAAAUUAUGUAUUUCCCCAUAGAA
RNAcentral lists this transfer RNA (68 nucleotides) under Dardanus aspersus. Its description in RNAcentral is "tRNA-Leu". The record is from RNAcentral. Lineage: Eukaryota; Metazoa; Arthropoda; Malacostraca; Decapoda; Diogenidae.